Molecule: long non-coding RNA, 445 nt
Filed under: Medicago truncatula (barrel medic)
Lineage: Eukaryota; Viridiplantae; Streptophyta; Magnoliopsida; Fabales; Fabaceae
Description: lncRNA gene36148
Source: RNAcentral
CUUUUAUUUCUUCUCCUCUUUCUUUUCCUCUUUCUUCUCUUCUUUCUUCUCUUCCUUUUUCUCUUCUUUUUUCUCUUCCUUCUUCUCUUCUUUCUUUUCUUCUUUCUUCUCUUCUUUUGCAGGACCAACAGAUACAAUAUCAACUUUUCCUACUUUUUUCAGCUUCUUCACAAUUUUUACUGUAUCCAUUGAACCAAUCACUGUCAACUUUUGCUCCUUUACAUCUGCUACAAUUGAAUCAACCCCUAUUCAUCAAAAUCCACAACAAUUCAAUAGAUCAGCCUUUGAUUUAUUAAAUAACAUUUUUUUUUUCUAUAAAUAUAAAUUAUUUGUAUUAAAUUUUUUUGUUAAAUAAAUUUCUUACCAUAAAUAUCUGCAGCUGCUUCUAUAGCUUUUUGCUUGGUUUUGUCAUCUGUCAUAGUUAACACCUUUAACACAACCUUCU